UUUCCGUAGGUGAACCUGCGGAAGGAUCAUUGUCGAAACCUGCCCAGCAGAACGACCCGCGAACUUGUAUAAACAACCGGGGGCGGGGGGCGUUCUCGCCCCGUGCCCCCGAACGGCGGGGAGACACUCGUGCCUUCUUGCCGAACAACGAACCCCGGUGCGGUCUGCGCCAAGGAACUUCAACUAAAGAGUGCCUCCGGUCGCCUCGGAAACGGCGUGCGUGCCGGGGGCGAAUCUUGUGCAAAACCAUAACGACUCUCGGCAACGGAUAUCUCGGCUCUC
This 282-nucleotide unclassified non-coding RNA is filed under the name plant metagenome. RNAcentral describes it as "partial contains small subunit ribosomal RNA, internal transcribed spacer 1, and 5.8S ribosomal RNA". The record is from RNAcentral.